RNAcentral lists this ribosomal RNA (492 nucleotides) under uncultured bacterium. RNAcentral's name for it is "partial 16S ribosomal RNA". It matches the Rfam family "Bacterial small subunit ribosomal RNA", at positions 29 to 507 of the family's 1533-position model. The record is from RNAcentral.
AGUGAACGCUGGCGGUAGGCCUAACACAUGCAAGUCGAACGGCAGCACAGUAAGAGCUUGCUCUUACGGGUGGCGAGUGGCGGACGGGUGAGGAAUACAUCGGAAUCUACUUUUUCGUGGGGGAUAACGUAGGGAAACUUACGCUAAUACCGCAUACGACCUACGGGUGAAAGCAGUGGAUCUUCGCACCUUGCGCGAUUGAAUGAGCCGAUGUCGGAUUAGCUAGUUGGCGGGGUAAAGGCCCACCAAGGCGACGAUCCGUAGCUGGUCUGAGAGGAUGAUCAGCCACACUGGAACUGAGACACGGUCCAGACUCCUACGGGAGGCAGCAGUGGGGAAUAUUGGACAAUGGGCGAAAGCCUGAUCCAGCCAUACCGCGUGGGUGAAGAAGGCCUUCGGGUUGUAAAGCCCUUUUGUUAGGAAAGAAAAGCAGCAGGUGAAUACCCCGCUGUUCUGACGGUACCCAAAGAAUAAGCACCGGCUAACUUCGUG